Molecule: ribosomal RNA, 301 nt
Filed under: uncultured bacterium
Lineage: Bacteria
Description: partial 16S ribosomal RNA
Rfam family: Bacterial small subunit ribosomal RNA
Source: RNAcentral
CAGCCGCCGCGGUAAUACGGAGGGGGCUAGCGUUGUUCGGAAUUACUGGGCGUAAAGCGCACGUAGGCGGCUUGGUAAGUUAGAGGUGAAAGCCCAGGGCUCAACCCUGGAAUUGCCUUUAAGACUGCCGAGCUAGCAGGUGAGAGAGGUAAGUGGAAUUCCGAGUGUAGAGGUGAAAUUCGUAGAUAUUCGGAAGAACACCAGUGGCGAAGGCGGCUUACUGGCUCAUACUGGACGCUGAGGUGCGAAAGCGUGGGGAGCAAACAGGAUUAGAUACCCCGGUAGUCCCUGUCUCUUAUAC